Molecule: long non-coding RNA, 320 nt
Organism: Bombus pascuorum
Lineage: Eukaryota; Metazoa; Arthropoda; Insecta; Hymenoptera; Apidae
Exons: 2
Source: RefSeq, a predicted model, not a curated record
GACAUAAUAAGAAGCAAACAUGCAGAACAUGCACCGAGCGAUGCUACUCGAAAGUUUCUUCGAAGAACCGAAGUCAAAAUGCGCCAGAGAGGAGGAAAGUGAAAUUCUGCAAAUAAGGGUAACAAUGAAAUGGUAUUUCUGAUAAAUGUUUCGUUUGUAUUUGCUUACAAAAUCAAUGUAAGUGCUCGAAAACUCGAUGAACAAGCGAAUGGAUUUUGUCGUGCUGGAUAUCUCUCGCGUGUUUCAGAAACACGCUGAAUUAUACAUACAAGAAGGCGUAGACGAACGAGCUGACCCAUAGUUAUGAUUCGUAGGCUCGA